This 383-nucleotide ribosomal RNA is filed under the name uncultured bacterium. RNAcentral's name for it is "partial 16S ribosomal RNA". The record is from RNAcentral.
GCAUCAGGCUUGCGCCCAUUGUGCAAUAUUCCCCACUGCUGCCUCCCGUAGGAGUCUGGGCCGUGUCUCAGUCCCAGUGUGGCUGAUCAUCCUCUCAGACCAGCUAGGGAUCGUCGCCUUGGUGAGCCAUUACCUCACCAACUAGCUAAUCCCACAUAGGCGUAUCCAAACGCACAAGGUCCGAAGAGCCCCUGCUUUGCUCCUAAGAGAGUAUGCGGUAUUAGCCAUCGUUUCCAAUGGUUAUCCCCCUCGUCUGGGCAACUUCCUAUGCAUUACUCACCCGUCCGCCGCUCGUCAGCAGAUAGCAAGCUAUCUCUGUUACCGCUCGACUUGCAUGUGUUAGGCCUGCCGCCAGCGUUCAAUCUGAGCCAGGAUCAAACUCU